Molecule: long non-coding RNA, 202 nt
Organism: Rhagoletis zephyria (snowberry fruit fly)
Lineage: Eukaryota; Metazoa; Arthropoda; Insecta; Diptera; Tephritidae
Source: RefSeq, a predicted model, not a curated record
GAAAAAAUUAUCAAAAAUGAUCACAGAUAUAAAUUGGUUGAGUGUUAAGCAACAGGUUUUCUAUCAUGCUAUGAAAUUCGUAUACAACAUAAAGAACGGUAAACUUCCAGACUAUCUGAGCGACAAUCUUCGGUAUAUAAAUGAAACUCAUUCAUAUAUACUCAGGGAAAACAAUUGCUUUAGACUCCCACUUUAUAGAACA